GCUUGUCUCAAAGAUUAAGCCAUGCAUGUCUAAGUACAAGCCUCAGUAAGGUGAAACCGCGAAUGGCUCAUUAAAUCACACCUAAUCUACUGGAAAGUUACUAGUUACUUGGAUAACUGAGGUAAUUCUUGAGCUAAUACAUGCGAAAAAUCUCGACUCACGGAGAGAUGCUUUUAUUAGAUCAAAACCAAACGGCUUCGGCCGUCUCAUUGGUGACUCUGAAUAACUUUGCGAAUCGCAUGGCCUUGCGCCGGCGAUGAAUCAUUCAAAUUUCUGCCCUAUCAACUUUCGAUGGUAAGGUAUUGGCUUACCAUGGUCGCAACGGGUAACGGGGAAUAAGGGUUCGGUUCCGGAGAGGGAGCCUGAGAAAUGGCUACCACAUCCAAGGAAGGCAGCAGG
This 399-nucleotide ribosomal RNA is filed under the name Eudiaptomus graciloides. Its description in RNAcentral is "partial small subunit ribosomal RNA". It matches the Rfam family "Eukaryotic small subunit ribosomal RNA", at positions 30 to 432 of the family's 1831-position model. Lineage: Eukaryota; Metazoa; Arthropoda; Copepoda; Calanoida; Diaptomidae. The record is from RNAcentral.